UCGAGCGAACAGACGAGGAGCUUGCUCCUCUGACGUUAGCGGCGGACGGGUGAGUAGCACGUGGAUAACCUACCUAUAAGACUGGGAUAGCUUCGGGAAACCGGAGCUAAUACCGGAUAAUAUAUUGAACCGCAUGGUCCAAUAGUGAAAGACGGUUUUGCUGUCACUUAUAGAUGGAUCCGCGCCGCAUUAGCUAGUUGGUAAGGUAACGGCUUACCAAGACAACGAUGCGUAGCCGACCUGAGAGGGUGAUCGGCCACACUGGAACUGAGACACGGUCCAGACUCCUACGGGAGGCAGCAGUAGGGAAUCUUCCGCAAUGGGCGAAAGCCUGACGGAGCAACGCCGCGUGAGUGAUGAAGGUCUUCGGAUCGUAAAGCUCUGCUACUAGGGAAGAACAAAUGUGUAAGUAACUAUGCACGUCUUGACGGUACCUAAUCAGAAAGCCACGGCUAACUACGUGCCAGCAGCCGCGGUAAUACGUAGGUGGCAAGCGUUAUCCGGAAUUAUUGGGCGUAAAGCGCGCGUAGGUGGUUUUUUAAGUCUGAUAUGAAAGCCCACGGCUCAACCGUGGAGGGUCAUUGGAAACUGGAAAACUUGAGUGCAGAAGAGGAAAGUGGAAUUCCAUGUGUAGCGGUGAAAUGCGCAGAGAUAUGGAGGAACACCAGUGGCGAAGGCGACUUUCUGGUCUGUAACUGACGCUGAUGUGCGAAAGCGUGGAGAUCAAACAGGAUUAGAUACCCUGGUAGUCCACGCCGUAAACGAUGAGUGCUAAGUGUUAAGGGGUUUCCGCCCUUAGUGCUGCAGCUAACGCAUUAAGCACUCCGCCUGGGGAGUACGACCGCAAGGCUGAAACUCAAUGGAAUUGACGGGG
This 874-nucleotide ribosomal RNA is filed under the name uncultured bacterium. Its description in RNAcentral is "bacterial SSU rRNA". It matches the Rfam family "Bacterial small subunit ribosomal RNA", at positions 62 to 918 of the family's 1533-position model. The record is from RNAcentral.